CCCACCAUGGUGACCACGGGUAACGGGGAAACAGGGUUCGACUCCGGAGAGGAAGCCCGAGAAACGGCUACCACCUCCAAGGAAGGCAGCAGGCGCGAAAAUUGUUCACUAACGACACGUUGAGACAGUGACCAGGCGUAUCAUUGCAAGGCACUUAUAGUGUUUUGCAAAUGAAAUGGAAGCAGUGUACAAACCUCAUUGAGGAGCGAAAGGUGGGCAAGUCGAAUGCCAGCAGCUGCGGUAAUUUUUGCACCUUGAGAGUUGUCUAGCAUUGCUGUAGUUAAAUCGCCCGUAGUCGUAUUUCUGGGUGGCCCGUGUUGGGCGCUGCGCAAGCGGUGCUAUGUAUGCGGGCCUCCCACGCACCGAGUACCGCCUUCGGGGGGUACUCCUGUUACCAUGAGGAAAUUGGAGUGUUCAAAGCAGGCUUGAUGCCCGCACACGUUAGCAUGGAAUAAUGAAAGAGGGCCCUGGUUCUUACCGCGCCUCAGGCUUGGAGCAGACCGGGAUCAUGAUGAACAGGAACAGAAUGGGGGCACCCGUACUUUGCUGUCAGGGGUGAAAUCCUUGGAUCAGCAAAAGACGAACGGAUGCGAAAGCGUCUGCCAAGGAUGUUUUCAUUGAUCAAGGCCGAAAGUCGAGGGAUCCAAGACGAUCAGAUACCGUCGUCAUCUCGACCAUCAACGCUGCCGACCGCGGGUGUGCACACUAUUUCGAGAGUGUGUGCGAACGCUAGGAGAAAUUAAAAGUCCAUGGGUACCGGGGGGAGUAUGGUCGCAAGGCUGAAACUUAAAGGAAUUGACGGAGGGACACCACCAGGAGUGGAGCCUGCGGCUUAAUUUGACUCAACACGGGGAAACUCACCAGGUCCAGACAUUGGCAGGAUUGACAUGACUGAGAGCUCUUUCAUGAUUCGAUGGGUGGUGGUGCAUGGCCGUUCUUAGUUGGUGGUUUGAGCUGUCUGCUUCAUUGCGAUAACGAACGAGACCUUCGCGGGGUGUUUCCGAGCGGGCACUUUUGUGGUGCCCCCGGACUUUCUUCCCGGACUGUUGCACUUUCUUUAUGAUGUCGUGCACGGAAGCAGGAGGCAAUAACAGGUCUGUGAUGCCCUUAGAUGUUCUGGGCCGCACGCGCGCUACACUGCCGUGUUCAUCGAGUGAACUGGCUGCCAUGGCUCCGGCUGUGUGCAGCCACCUACCCCGAGAGGGAACUCUUUGUGGGAAAUCUUGUGAAAACACGGCGUGCUGGGGAUCGUCCUUUGCAAUUAUUGGACGUGAACGAGGAAUUCCUAGUAAGCGCGAGUCAUCAGCUUGCGUUGAUUAAGUCACUGUGCCUUGUACACACCGCCCGUCGCUAGUUCUGAUUGAAUGGCUCAGUGAGGUGUCUGGAGCGCCGUUGCAUCUGCGACUGGUGUGAAGUUCCCCGAACUUGGUCAUUUAGAAGAACUAAAAGUCGUAACAAGGUAAUCGUAGGUGAACCUGCGGUUGG
This 1485-nucleotide ribosomal RNA is filed under the name Caulochytrium protostelioides. RNAcentral describes it as "SSU rRNA". It matches the Rfam family "Eukaryotic small subunit ribosomal RNA", at positions 340 to 1824 of the family's 1831-position model. Lineage: Eukaryota; Fungi; Chytridiomycota; Caulochytriomycetes; Caulochytriales; Caulochytriaceae. The record is from RNAcentral.